RNAcentral lists this non-coding RNA (23 nucleotides) under Mus musculus (house mouse). The record is from RNAcentral. Lineage: Eukaryota; Metazoa; Chordata; Mammalia; Rodentia; Muridae.
UAGAAGACAACGAAUACACAGCC